This is a long non-coding RNA of Micropterus dolomieu (smallmouth bass), 1533 nucleotides long. RefSeq lists it as uncharacterized. The record is from RefSeq and is a predicted model, not a curated record. The transcript is spliced from 2 exons. NCBI's taxonomy places the organism in Eukaryota, Metazoa, Chordata, Actinopteri, Centrarchiformes, Centrarchidae.
ACCACAGCUGUGUCAGAACGAUCUCUGCAAAAACAGGAGGACAGGAAAAAAGUUAUCAGUUAUUGACAUAACUUGACAGCUAACUUAUGACUGCCUAAAGGAUAACAUUUUCAACUAUAAUUGUUUAUAGAGAGACUUAUAUUAAAGUGUCUAUAUUAAACCUACAGGAAAUGUAGUGUAAACCCAUUUUUGUGGCUUUGUGCAAGAGACUGUUUGUGAUUCCAGUAAUAAUUUUAUAUUUUAAGUAUACUUACACAAUGAACGUCCUGCCAGCAGGUUUUACUCCACCAAUCGGAGUACGGCGGACGAUCACGGACGAGUGUUUCGGGAUAUGGGCUUCAUCAUCUGUGUAUUCUACAAAACAUGACAAACAGCAGCAGGUCCUCCACAGACCGGAGUGGGUCAGGACCUCCUCGUUCUUGUGGACGGUCUCGUUGUCACCCAGGCUCUUGGAGCGGCACAUCCCGCGGGAGUACAGCCAGUAGUCCGUGCCCACGGCGAUAGUCAUGAGGCUGAAGGCGCAGAAAGCCCCCGCCGUGGUCAGUAGCAUCAUCACACCCCGGUUACACAGCCUCAUGUCGGCCCAGCCUCCUCCUCCUCCUCCUCCUCCUCCACAGCGAGAAGUCCUCCACUAGACAGAGACCAGCGGGGUUUAGAAACUGUUAAAAACUUUCCCCCCGGUGUCUUAUCUUUGGUUGGAUCCAGUCGGCGGAAGGAAAAUCAGAUUUCGUGGACAUCUUCUGCAACCUGCGCUAUACUCGUAUAGUUGGAUAAUUGUGCAGAUUUCGGGACGGGUCAUUGUCCCCCAAGAUACAUGCAGACUUGGUUAACUGAGUUGCGAUGUUUCCAUGUCAAGGGCGCAGUAGAGGAUCACGAGAUGUUGCUGUUCAGUCAGUGGUACAAUAGAAGAAUAAAGCCGAGGUGCGAAAAGUGGAAAAGGCCAAAAUCCUCGAUAAAACCAAAAAUGGUGUUGGGAGAAAACAACGACAGCAGCUCUCAUGUGUGGACGCGUUCAAGUUUGUUGUAGCUCAGCUCUGUAUGGCAUUAACUGCAGGAUGAUCCCGCCUUCCAACUUGUGUGUAUGUGUGAUCCUGUCACUGAGCACACACAUGGUCAGGUCUGACCACUUCGCAGUGCUCACUAGUUCAGCAUCAUGGACAGCAGCACAGUACUGACCACGAGGGCGCAGGUUUGGUUUCAGUUUAAGAUUAAAUUAGUUGUCAUGCUUUCCAUAAUACAUUAAUACUAGGAUGCCAAAAAAGCCAUAUGAAUUGCUGCGUUAUGCACUAAACCAAGAGAUAAAUACUGAUAAAUACUGUUAUAGGCUAUAAAAACAUUUUGACAAAACAAAUUCGAGCUACCAUUUCCAAUGUCAACAAUGAGCCUUCAAACACAAUAAAUAAUGUUUUAUUUCUAUCUUUACUACAAAAAUCAGAGUCUUUUAUUGCAAUAUAUUUGAUUGAUUAUCAGUUCCAGCGUUUUUAGGAUAGUUAUUUGUAAAUAAAAACAGCUAAAUUAUGUUUUAACCGAAAA